CAAAGGAAACACACACAAAAAAGGAGCCAACGGCACCUCCUCCACUAUAAAAGGCCCUUCCAGCCGCGAGAAACCCCAUUCUAAUUUCUUUUUUCCAAACUCAAUUUUAUCUCUCUCAGUAUUUUUAUUUAUUUCUUUUCUUAUGGGUGAAUCGGAAAACCGCCUCCUCAAUCAAUUCUGGGCCGCGCAGUCAACUCCUCCUGAGCCGGCUCCCAUCGCGGACCAAUGCUUGAAACCGACCCUUAAUGAUUGCACAAGCUUCAAUCGGAACAGAAUUGCCGACAAUGGAAUUCAGACAUCUCGUGAUGCCAAACGUGUUGCUGGAUCUGCAAAGAUAUCAGAGUUGAGCAACAAGAACAGAACAUUGUCCUCCAAUACUCUUAUGAGCUCUGAGCAGGAAAUUGAAUGCGGCAGGGCUUCCAUGAAGCUUGCAUCUGGAUUUCUUAAGUAGAAGCAAUUCGAGGAGGACAUUCAAUGCAGGUUUCUUUCUAAUUACACAAUUUAUAUUCCUAGAAUUGAAAACAGAUUAGAAUUAUCAGUUUUCUAUGGCUUCUAGGGAUAAUUAUUUUUAGGAGCAUUCAUAUUGAUCGAUGCCUCAUUUAUUUAUGAAAUUCUUCAGACCCAGGUUUCCAACAUUUAGAUUUAGGUUUUUUGUCGGAAGCUAGUUGUUGAACACAGUUGUACUUUUGGUGUAGCUUUAAUUUUGUUGAAAAAACAGCUAAAACCUUUUGAAAACAGAAGAGGAUGAGAAAAUAGUAUAUCACUUUAGUGAACAAGGAUACAUAAAGAAAGAAAACCAUGUUAGUCAUUAUACCUUCCUAUAUCCCUUGGUACUUGGCUCUUGAUGAGCUAACAUCAUCGCCAUAUCUAGUAACAAGGUUAAACAUGACUGUUUGAUUUUUUUUUCCCCUUAAUAUGUCAAUUCCACACAGCAUUUUUUUAGAGGGCAUACAUUAUGUGUAGAAUAUAUAUUGCAUGGCUCAGGUUGAUUAAUUGUGAUACUCCUACCAAAGGAAGGAAGAGAUCCCAGUCAUCUCUUGGAUUGCCAACCUCUAGUCAGUUAAAAAGAUCAAAGAGAUCAUCACCAGCAGAAAGAAGACCAUCAUCAAUUGAUGAUCUCCCUGACACGGCAUUGGUUGAAAUCCUUUGCCGACUUCCAUCAAGUAAAUUUGUGUUUCAAUGCCAGUGUGUGUCCAAGCGUUGGCGCACACUCAUCUCAGAUCCUUAUUUUAUUGGCCGCUUUGUGCAUAUCCAAGGUUAUAGGAAAACUCCAAAGAUGUGCACUCUAAUAAGUCAAAAAGGAGAGGAAUUCCCUCCUAAAAUGCCAUGGUCAUCCAAGUUACUAACCCCAGUGUUCAAACAAAUAAUGAGUUUCCACUCUUUGAGAAAAGGGCCAGUUGUGGUAGCAACGUAUAAUGACUUAGUUUUGUGCUGCGCAACUGAGGAUUAUCAACGCAAUUACUACAUCUGCAAUGCAUACACCAUGCAAUGGGUUGCUCUUCCUCCCACCCCAGGUCGAUGCCACGAUAGGGUACUAGUGGGAUUCAUCUGUGAUAUUCCCUACUAUAAUUCUAAGAAAGAAGAUUGGAAAGGGCAUAACAUCCAGCUUAAUGCUAAGUGUGUGUGCAACGUUGUGAGAAUUCUUCCUCCUGAUGAAUCUGCAAAUGAUGACAAAUGUGAUUCCUUAAAAUUAAGCGUGGAGAUCUUCUCUUCUGAGACUGGUGAAUGAAGAGAAUCAGUUGUGGCUUCCCCACGAUACUUUGAUUUUGAUGACCUUGAAGAUAUAUCCUUUGCAUACAAUGGGAUGUUAUAUUGGACAAGUGACGAAGACCUUCUUUUUGUUGGUUUGGGUCCCUUCAACGACAAUAACACGACAACUAGUAGUAGUAGUAGCGGUAAUGGUGAUGGCGUUAUUGAUCAUAAACUUCAUUUGACUGUAUUUGAGGAGCCUCUAAAUGGACGUUUUGUAGUUGAGUACCUAGGUAUGUUCGGAGGAUGUGUCCGGAUGUGUGACUUUAAGGAGGCUACCAAAACUCUGUGAGUUGAAAGAACAAGAUCAUGAUCGGAUGGUCGAUGGAGCUGCUGGCAGAUUGUGUUUAACUAACCACAGGUAUAUCAGUUGGACCCAAAAAUGUAUCCAGAUGGUCCAUUUACGUGCGAAAUGCAGGCUUUUGACCCAAAUAAUAAGGAUAUUUUGUAUCUGCGUGUGGACGGAGAUAUUAUCAAGUGCAAUAUUCAUACAAAAAAGUGGUCUAGGAUAGUUAGACGGUGUCCAGUUCGUAAUGGUGACUAUUGGCCAGUUGAGCUCCCAUGGUGGCCGACUCCAGUUCCUAGAUUACCGCAGCAUGCCCAUGGUGGAGGAACUAGCUGCUAGUAGAUAACUUGAAUUGAAGUACUAAACUUUUAUUUAUUAAAGUUGGAUUAUUUGUAUUUGAUAUACUCAGCAAUGUUACACUUGUAUUUGCUGGUAAUUACCCUAGCAUUUUUUUUUAAUUACUCUUUUUGUUAA
Molecule: long non-coding RNA, 2509 nt
Organism: Prunus mume (Japanese apricot)
Lineage: Eukaryota; Viridiplantae; Streptophyta; Magnoliopsida; Rosales; Rosaceae
Source: RefSeq, a predicted model, not a curated record